AUUUGAUAUCUAAAUUAUCAUAUUAAUUUUUUAUUAAUUAUUAUAGUUCACUUCUCAUCUUUAUAUGAUUCUAUUUUUUCGAAAAA
This 86-nucleotide small RNA is filed under the name Arabidopsis thaliana (thale cress). RNAcentral describes it as "ATSL048610". The record is from RNAcentral. Lineage: Eukaryota; Viridiplantae; Streptophyta; Magnoliopsida; Brassicales; Brassicaceae.